Long non-coding RNA from Dermacentor andersoni, 460 nucleotides. RefSeq lists it as uncharacterized. Lineage: Eukaryota; Metazoa; Arthropoda; Arachnida; Ixodida; Ixodidae. The record is from RefSeq and is a predicted model, not a curated record.
CAUAAAGUGAAGUAAUGGCUCCUACAAAGAUUCUGCUCUCCGUCAUGUGCUUGCCGAUUAUUUUAACUCUUCAGCAAGAAACAAAUGCAGUGAGGAAUCUGGAGGCCAGACGGGAUACAUCAGGAUGUGACAAACGGAGUGAGACCUGCGAGUAUCCAGGUGGCUGCCAAUGCACCUGGAAUGCGAAUUACGGCAGUGAAUUCGUAAACAUGUAUCACUACGAUAGCGCUACAGGCAGAUGUGUACAACCGGGACAGGAAGAAAACUGCAACGGAUUCAAUUCAAGGCAAGAGUGCCAGGCAGCUUGCGUAAAUAGGCGAGGACAAGGAAGAAAUUGACAAGGGCAUACAGGAUAACGGAGGCAAUGACACCGAAGAAGUCAUUUAGGAUUCGUCAGAUGUGUCAUUAUCAUUCACUCAGCCAUUCGUAGUAAUAAAACAGUGAAUAAUUGUAGGAAGAA